Molecule: long non-coding RNA, 684 nt
Organism: Clupea harengus (Atlantic herring)
Lineage: Eukaryota; Metazoa; Chordata; Actinopteri; Clupeiformes; Clupeidae
Source: Ensembl
UCUCCCAUUCUCUCCCUCUUCUCUCUCUCCCUCUGUCUCUCUGUCUCCCUCUCUCCUCCCCCCUCUUAUUUCGAGUACCCCCUGUGAGAAAGGUCAGUGAGGUUCCGCUUUCCCCGCCGAAGCGGAGCAAACAUUCCCGACGUCCCGUGUGUGAACCCUGGGAAUGAGCCACGGAGCGCCAGAGCACUGGCUGAAGGUUCUCACGGUCCUGACUGGACAACCAGGCGCUUCUCCACAGGCUGCCGUUGCUUGGCGUUGCAAUCAACCCCAGGUUUGUUUUUGUGUCGUUUUGGAUAACAGCAUUUGUCAAACCAAUGAAUGUAAAUUCAUGUAAAUGGGGACUGAGUCUGGGUGUGAUGUGAUUGGCUGUGAGCAUGUGUGAUGUCUGAGGUGUCUGAGGUCAUGGUGUGGUCUGUGGCUGAGGCUGAGGCUGAGGCUGAGGCUGUGGAUGUGGCUGUGGCUGUGGCUGAGGCUGAGGCUGGGGCUGUGGCUGAGGCUGGGGCUGAGGCUGAGGCUGUGGCUGAGGCUGUGGCUGAGGCUGAGGCUGAGGCUGAGGCUCACCUCGAGUGAACCUGAACUCAGCUCCUUUUGUUCCGCUGUGGUUCAGCUCCCCUGCUGAUACUCUACUCCUCACUCCCAGCAGGGAAUCACGGAGGUUGGGGCGUGGGGCUCGUUUGGUAAAGG